CAUAAAUACUAGGUGUGUGUGUGUGUGUGAGAGAGAGAGAGAGAGGAAGGAGAAGGAGGAAGAAAGAAAUGGAAGAAAGUAAUACUGCAAGUGAGGAAGUGUCUACUUCUUACCUCCACCCAUGCUCUUUGCUUCAGUGCUUUUUGAGAGCUUGCCUUGGUUGCUUCGGCUUCUGCGAUCCUUCUAGUGAUUGCUUCGGCUUCUGCGAUCCUUCUAGUGACAAUGGAAAGCAAGAUCAAGAUGAUGGACACACGAUUCAACCUCGAUCCAGGAGGCCUCCAAGGACCAAACCAAACCCAGGUCCAGGUGGUCAGAUCAACGCUCAACAAUCCUAGCUAGUCAGCCAUUUCGUGUGUAAAUUAAUUCCUAUUUAUAUGAGACGAAGUUUGAGAGCGUGGUUGUUAUGAUGGAGUGUGAUUGUGUAGUGCGUACCGGUACUCUUGUAAAAUUUUUGUGUUUGUUGUAGUUUUCCCCCUUCCUUCAAGUUUUGAGCUCUUUAUAGUUAA
This is a long non-coding RNA of Asparagus officinalis (garden asparagus), 506 nucleotides long. RefSeq lists it as uncharacterized. NCBI's taxonomy places the organism in Eukaryota, Viridiplantae, Streptophyta, Magnoliopsida, Asparagales, Asparagaceae. The record is from RefSeq and is a predicted model, not a curated record. The transcript is spliced from 2 exons.